CCAGAUGGCUGGAUGACUGCUGUACCCUUCCUUGCGGGAGGGUGUGGAGGAAAGUCCGGGCUCCAGGAAGACACGGCGCCGGGUAACGCCCGGCGGGGGCGACCCCAGGGAUCAGUGCCACAGAAAGCAAACCGCCCCUGACAGGUUCAGGGGUAAGGGUGAAAGGGUGCGGUAAGAGCGCACCGCGCUGCCGGCAACGGUGAGCGGUCAUGGUAAACCCCGCCGGGAGCAAAACCAAAUAGGGGCUGCGUCGGGCCUUGGCCCGGAGCUUGUUUUCCAGCUCAGACAGCCCGGGUUGGUUGCAUGAAGCCGCUCGCAAGAGCGGCUCCAGAUGAAUGGUCAUCACAGGAAAGCCUGGCUUUCCUGUACAGAACCCGGCUUACAGGCCAUCUGGCAUU
RNAcentral lists this RNase P RNA (398 nucleotides) under Hyphomicrobiales bacterium. RNAcentral describes it as "RNase P RNA component class A". It matches the Rfam family "Bacterial RNase P class A". Rfam says of the family: Ribonuclease P (RNase P) is a ubiquitous endoribonuclease, found in archaea, bacteria and eukarya as well as chloroplasts and mitochondria. Its best characterised activity is the generation of mature 5'-ends of tRNAs by cleaving the 5'-leader elements of precursor-tRNAs. Lineage: Bacteria; Pseudomonadati; Pseudomonadota; Alphaproteobacteria; Hyphomicrobiales. The record is from RNAcentral.